GCCCCCGUAGCCCAAUCGGCAGAGGCAGUCGACUUAAAAUCGACCCAGUGCGGGUUCGAUCCCCGUCGGGGGCA
RNAcentral lists this transfer RNA (74 nucleotides) under Amycolatopsis marina. It matches the Rfam family "tRNA". Rfam says of the family: Transfer RNA (tRNA) molecules are approximately 80 nucleotides in length. Their secondary structure includes four short double-helical elements and three loops (D, anti-codon, and T loops). Further hydrogen bonds mediate the characteristic L-shaped molecular structure. tRNAs have two regions of fundamental functional importance: the anti-codon, which is responsible for specific mRNA codon recognition, and the 3' end, to which the tRNAs corresponding amino acid is attached (by aminoacyl-tRNA synthetases). tRNAs cope with the degeneracy of the genetic code in two manners: having more than one tRNA (with a specific anti-codon) for a particular amino acid; and 'wobble' base-pairing, i.e. permitting non-standard base-pairing at the 3rd anti-codon position. The record is from Rfam by way of RNAcentral. Lineage: Bacteria; Bacillati; Actinomycetota; Actinomycetes; Pseudonocardiales; Pseudonocardiaceae.